Molecule: microRNA, 23 nt
Filed under: Gallus gallus (chicken)
Lineage: Eukaryota; Metazoa; Chordata; Aves; Galliformes; Phasianidae
Description: gga-miR-1758
Source: miRBase by way of RNAcentral
UCACCAAGCACUUGUCGGGCUAU